Molecule: ribosomal RNA, 495 nt
Filed under: uncultured bacterium
Lineage: Bacteria
Description: partial 16S ribosomal RNA
Rfam family: Bacterial small subunit ribosomal RNA
Source: RNAcentral
UGACCGCUGGCGGCGUGCCUAAUACAUGCAAGUCGAGCGAACAGACGAGGAGCUUGCUCCUCUGACGUUAGCGGCGGACGGGUGAGUAACACGUGGAUAACCUACCUAUAAGACUGGGAUAACUUCGGGAAACCGGAGCUAAUACCGGAUAAUAUAUUGAACCGCAUGGUUCAAUAGUGAAAGACGGUUUUGCUGUCACUUAUAGAUGGAUCCGCGCCGCAUUAGCUAGUUGGUAAGGUAACGGCUUACCAAGGCGACGAUGCGUAGCCGACCUGAGAGGGUGAUCGGCCACACUGGAACUGAGACACGGUCCAGACUCCUACGGGAGGCAGCAGUAGGGAAUCUUCCGCAAUGGGCGAAAGCCUGACGGAGCAACGCCGCGUGAGUGAUGAAGGUCUUCGGAUCGUAAAACUCUGUUAUUAGGGAAGAACAAAUGUGUAAGUAACUAUGCACGUCUUGACGGUACCUAAUCAGAAAGCCACGGCUAACUACGUG